CAUAAAGGUCACAGUUUUGAGUUUUUAUGUCAAAUGUUUGAUUAUCUGUUUUAUUUGAAAAAAAUAUGAUUUAGUAUUUUUAUCGUUAUUAAAUGAUAAAACAUGAAUAAUACUUUAUGCAUGACUAUUUUUUAAAAAAUUUAAAUAAGACGAUGGUCGAACGUUGGAUAUGGAAACCCACAAUUGCACUUAAA
RNAcentral lists this microRNA precursor (194 nucleotides) under Oryza punctata. RNAcentral's name for it is "MIR812 microRNA precursor family". It matches the Rfam family "MIR812 microRNA precursor family". Lineage: Eukaryota; Viridiplantae; Streptophyta; Magnoliopsida; Poales; Poaceae. The record is from Rfam by way of RNAcentral.